AGCAGCCGCGGUAAUUCCAGCUCCAAUAGCGUAUAUUAAAGUUGUUGCAGUUAAAAAGCUCGUAGUUGAAUUUCGGGAUCUGCAGGGUUGGUCAUGUUUCGGCAUGCACUGGCCUUGGUGAUUCCUCCUUCUUGUAGAACCGUGAUGCCAUUAAUUUGGUGUUGUGGGGAAACAGGUCUGUUACUUUGAAAAAAUUAGAGUGCUUAAAGCAGGCUAACGCUUGAAUACAUUAGCAUGGAAUAAUAAAAUAGGACGUUUGAUCUUAUUUUGUUGGUUUCUAGGAUUGACGUAAUGAUUAAUAGGGAUAGUUGGG
This 313-nucleotide ribosomal RNA is filed under the name uncultured Glomus. Its description in RNAcentral is "SSU rRNA". It matches the Rfam family "Eukaryotic small subunit ribosomal RNA", at positions 569 to 886 of the family's 1831-position model. Lineage: Eukaryota; Fungi; Glomeromycota; Glomeromycetes; Glomerales; Glomeraceae. The record is from RNAcentral.